RNAcentral lists this ribosomal RNA (253 nucleotides) under uncultured bacterium. RNAcentral's name for it is "partial 16S ribosomal RNA". It matches the Rfam family "Bacterial small subunit ribosomal RNA", at positions 524 to 776 of the family's 1533-position model. The record is from RNAcentral.
UACGGAGGGGACUAGCGUUGUUCGGAAUUACUGGGCGUAAAGCGCACGUAGGCGGAUUUGUAAGUCAGGGGUGAAAUCCCGGGGCUCAACCUCGGAACUGCCUUUGAUACUGCAAAUCUCGAGUCCGGAAGAGGUGAGUGGAAUUCCUAGUGUAGAGGUGAAAUUCGUAGAUAUUAGGAAGAACACCAGUGGCGAAGGCGGCUCACUGGUCCGGUACUGACGCUGAGGAGCGAAAGCUAGGGGAGCAAACGGG